RNAcentral lists this ribosomal RNA (232 nucleotides) under uncultured bacterium. RNAcentral describes it as "partial 16S ribosomal RNA". It matches the Rfam family "Bacterial small subunit ribosomal RNA", at positions 15 to 244 of the family's 1533-position model. The record is from RNAcentral.
GAUCAUGGCUCAGGACGAACGCUGGAGGCGCGCCUAACACAUGCAAGUCGAACGAGAGAUGAGGAGCUUGCUCUUCAAAUCGAGUGGCGAACGGGUGAGUAACGCGUGAGGAACCUGCCUCAAAGAGGGGGACAACAGUUGGAAACGACUGCUAAUACCGCAUAAGCCCACGGCUCGGCAUCGAGCAGAGGAAAGGAGCAAUCCGCUUUGAGAUGGCCUCGCGUCCGAUUAG